Spinacia oleracea (spinach) is the source of this 1409-nucleotide long non-coding RNA. RefSeq lists it as uncharacterized. The record is from RefSeq and is a predicted model, not a curated record. The transcript has 3 exons. Lineage: Eukaryota; Viridiplantae; Streptophyta; Magnoliopsida; Caryophyllales; Amaranthaceae.
AUUUUUUGUCUCAUUUUCCCGCUCCUCCUUCCUCCACUUUCUUUCUUUUCUGGAGAGCGACAUUGAAGAAAAUUCACAGCAUACACACUCACCCUUCUUUGCCGCUCCGCCCUCCUAUGUCGCGACGCCGCUGCUCUCUACUCUUCCUCCUCCCCGCACCGCCACCGCGCUCUGCUCUCCUCCUUUCGCUUCAAGAACUCUGCAAAAUUAAUGAUAGGAGAUGAUCGAUAAAUACCAGCGAUGGUGAUGGGAAUAGCAGUAGAGAAAAAAAUUUGGAGCUUCUCAUACCAUCACUGACUCUUCCGGCAUCCAUGACGAUUCUGCUAAAUCUAGCCCUUCCGUUUAUUCUUCCCACCAUUUUGGGUGAAAGGUGAAGAAGGAGAGAUUGGGCAGAUUUGGGGUCAAAAUUGUGCGUUGUCGGACUCGAAUGGCUGACAAACCUCCUCCUAUUUACAAAGAGGUAUGAUUUUCAAUUCUCUGUACUAGGUGGUUUAAGAUUCUUUGUAUUAGAUGCUUUGCCUCGUUGAUCAGUGCCAUAUUUUUUUUAAUUUUUAAGCUAUGACAUGCGUACAUUAAAAUAAUUAACAUAGAGUUGAAUAAUUUUUUUUAAAAGUUGGACAGGUUCCUACUAGUAGUGAUGUUGGGGAACUUAACUAACACGGGACCGGAUACUCUAGUUCUUGAAGCGCCACACAGUGAUCUAUAUAUGAUGGUGACAGGAUUGUGAGAUUGAGAUUAAAAUUGAGAUUGUGAUAAUUGUUUAUGGGAAUUGAAGACAAGGAAGCGUAUGGUACUAAUGGUAGUAUCAUAGUAUAAGUUAUACAGUAGACAACACGCUCAUGAAUAUCUUUGUGCGUAGAGUCGUGUUCCCUUUGUACUGAACGUAUUUAUUUUGUCUGAAUGCAAGGCCAGGAAAUUUAUUUGACACCAACACUCUCGAAGAACACCCAACGAAAUAUUUCAUAAACAAAAUGGUGGUUGGUUGGUUUGGUGUCUCUAAUCUUAGCCUGAGUUGCAGAACUAGGUUGUUGUGUUUGUGUGUUGUGCUGCUCUCAAUACUCUGUUCUAUUCUUGUUGUCUUGCUGAUCUCCACUUUGUUGAUGGGUGAUAUUCUGUUUAUUCCAGUGCAUUGCUGCUGUUUUUGGGUGACUGCAAAUACGAAGAAGAGUUACAUGUAGCAUGUGGUGUGGUUAGUUUGUACAAAGCUACUUUAGACCUACUUGGUUUGACUUCUAUAGUUUUUGUUUCUUUGGGGUUUUUGGAUUGGUUUUAUAGUUCGGUUGACUAGCUUAGUUUUAUGUAGUUAUGGGCUUGUAGGUUGUUGCAAGGUCUAGGGUGUUUUUUUUAUUUGGUUGAGCUUGUACAAAUAUUUGGUUCACUUUUGGUUAAUAUUAUUUACUUAUUUACCA